RNAcentral lists this non-coding RNA (31 nucleotides) under Mus musculus (house mouse). The record is from RNAcentral. Lineage: Eukaryota; Metazoa; Chordata; Mammalia; Rodentia; Muridae.
ACUUCUCAUGUAUGUAAAUGGACGGUUGUGU